This 363-nucleotide transfer-messenger RNA is filed under the name Escherichia coli. RNAcentral's name for it is "Standard tmRNA". It matches the Rfam family "transfer-messenger RNA". Rfam says of the family: Bacterial tmRNA, also known as 10Sa RNA or SsrA, is named for its dual tRNA and mRNA-like properties. Its role is to liberate the mRNA from a stalled ribosome. Lineage: Bacteria; Pseudomonadati; Pseudomonadota; Gammaproteobacteria; Enterobacterales; Enterobacteriaceae. The record is from RNAcentral.
GGGGCUGAUUCUGGAUUCGACGGGAUUUGCGAAACCCAAGGUGCAUGCCGAGGGGCGGUUGGCCUCGUAAAAAGCCGCAAAAAAUAGUCGCAAACGACGAAAACUACGCUUUAGCAGCUUAAUAACCUGCUUAGAGCCCUCUCUCCCUAGCCUCCGCUCUUAGGACGGGGAUCAAGAGAGGUCAAACCCAAAAGAGAUCGCGUGGAAGCCCUGCCUGGGGUUGAAGCGUUAAAACUUAAUCAGGCUAGUUUGUUAGUGGCGUGUCCGUCCGCAGCUGACAAGCGAAUGUAAAGACUGACUAAGCAUGUAGUACCGAGGAUGUAGGAAUUUCGGACGCGGGUUCAACUCCCGCCAGCUCCACCA